Molecule: non-coding RNA, 136 nt
Organism: Hordeum vulgare subsp. vulgare (domesticated barley)
Lineage: Eukaryota; Viridiplantae; Streptophyta; Magnoliopsida; Poales; Poaceae
Source: Rfam
GUUAUACUCCCUUCGGCCCAAAAUUCUUGUCUUAGUUUUGUUUAUAAAUGGAUGUACCUAAAUAUUAAAACGUGACUAGAUACAUUCAUAUCUUAACAAAUCUAAGACAAGAAUUUUGGGACGGAGGGAGUAUCUU